AGAGUAUAAGCCAAUGGAGCUUGGAAGGCUACCGCAGUUCUCUUGCAUCGUACGUGUUGCUCGUAAGACCCAUGAGCGUGGUUCGUCAGGCGUAGCAUUGAGUUUGCCAGGUCUAGCUGUCGUGCGGGGGGUUCGGCUUGGAGGUCCGAGGCUUCGGCCGAAGGGCUUUCCGGUCGUCCCCUUUUGAAUGGACGUUCAGAUAUCAUGGGUCUAAUGCGGCUAUGCCCACCACAGCACGUUGUGAGGUCACCCACAGGCUCAAACUGCCGAUCGCGUAUCCAGGACGAUGGCAACGAUGCGUUGUCGACUAUGCCAGAGGCGAGACCUCUCGAGUCACACGCGUGUCUAGUCCUGGGUCGGGCGGCGACCGAGAUACAAAAAUCCUGGUAUGAUCCUCUUGCGACGAGCUGCUUUCUGGCCAGACCGACGCCCAGGCGCUUCCACUGUGCCGGAAGCGUCCAUCCCAGGCGGUGUGAGCCCAGCUGCAUUAUGCAAGGCCUCUCAGCCGGGCGUUGGUCUGAGUGGUGUCAAGUCCAGCACCAUCGGUCACGUCUCGAAACACGGGCCAAGGAGUAUAGCAUGUGUGCAAGUCUAAGGGUAUCCCAAAACCCGAAGGCGAAGUGAAAGCAAGACUGUGGCGGGGGAGCUACGGCGAACCCGCCGGCCUGGUGUGCGGCGCCUCACGGCGUCGCACCCGGCUUAUGGCAGAGCUGAUCCUGUUUUCUCGGUUGAUUCUUGGUGCAGGCGCAAGCUCCGGGCUCACCUACAACACCGGUCACUCGUGGCUGUGUUGUGAGCACCG
This 802-nucleotide ribosomal RNA is filed under the name Niphargus sp. 6 SB-2020. RNAcentral's name for it is "partial large subunit ribosomal RNA". Lineage: Eukaryota; Metazoa; Arthropoda; Malacostraca; Amphipoda; Niphargidae. The record is from RNAcentral.